Non-coding RNA from Pelobates cultripes (western spadefoot toad), 875 nucleotides. NCBI's taxonomy places the organism in Eukaryota, Metazoa, Chordata, Amphibia, Anura, Pelobatidae. The record is from the annotation of a GenBank genome assembly.
AUUUGGGAUUCUUCAUUCUAAUGGUCCUUUAUCUUCAGAAAGGUACAUUUACUGAUUUUUUAUUUUUUUUUAUUUUUUUAUUGUAUCUCAAUAAGUUGAUGUGUAAAUUAGUUUGCAUCCUGACCUAAUGAACGUUAUAUACUGAAAUACUUCAAUUGCUCCGUUUUUGGCUGUUUGAAUGUGUAUCAAUUAAAUUGUGUGUUACUGUGAGCUUUAUUGCUUUGGAGCUCUGUGAUAUACCCCGUACUGCACAUUACCGCAGAAGGAAAAAUAAGAUAUACCUGAACACACAAACAGAGAAAGAAAAAUCUCAUAGAGAAGUAAUAUAAAUUAACAAUCGGCCCCUUAUUUAAAUGUUGCACUCACAAAAUUGAAGAGAUAUUCAGGCUCAUUAAUAAUGUAUGGACUCUUACAUGUUCAUCCUCGUUCGAAUAUCCAGUGAUGCAUGAAAAACAUAAAUAAACAUAGUACAGUGUUGCUAUAUGUUAAAAUCACACACUUUAAUGAAUGCACUUACAGUGUACAAGUGGUUAAAAAGCCCAUCAAUAUAAUGUGCACUUGUGGCCAAUUGGCACAUACUUUCAUUAUAAUUUGGUCAUACAGUUUUGCGCUAUGUUGUGCCAUUUCUUCAAUGGCAGGAUAACCCCUAUUUUUAUACAUUUAACCUUUUCUGUUUGUCACUAGGAAUUCUAUCCAUGGAAAACUGUGAGAAUACGAAGACUAUUGCAGGAGAAUUGGGAGAAGAUAUUAAUGUGCUAAUGGAACUGUCUGGAUUCAAAGAAAUCUCAUGGACUAUGGGUGGAAAACACAUUGCUACAACCAACACGGACAGAUCUAUUGAUAUUAAAUCUCAAAUGCUUAAAAAUAGGCUGAAG